UCCGGUGGCCAUGGCGGCGGGGAUACACCCGUUCCCAUUCCGAACACGGCAGUUAAGCCCGCCAGCGCCGAUGGUACUUGGGGGGUGACCCCCUGGGAGAGUAGGACGCCGCCGGAU
This 117-nucleotide ribosomal RNA is filed under the name Actinomycetota bacterium. The record is from RNAcentral. Lineage: Bacteria; Bacillati; Actinomycetota.